ACCCCAGGUCAGGCGGGACCACCCGCUGAGUUUAAGCAUAUCAAUAAGCGGAGGAAAAGAAACUAACAAGGAUUCCCCUAGUAACGGCGAG
This 91-nucleotide ribosomal RNA is filed under the name Plectrocarpa rougesii. RNAcentral describes it as "partial 25S ribosomal RNA". It matches the Rfam family "Eukaryotic large subunit ribosomal RNA", at positions 1 to 93 of the family's 3401-position model. Lineage: Eukaryota; Viridiplantae; Streptophyta; Magnoliopsida; Zygophyllales; Zygophyllaceae. The record is from RNAcentral.